Molecule: small nuclear RNA, 103 nt
Filed under: Sorex araneus (European shrew)
Lineage: Eukaryota; Metazoa; Chordata; Mammalia; Eulipotyphla; Soricidae
Source: RNAcentral
GUCCUGUGGUAGCACAUACACUGAAAUUGGAACAACACAUAGAAGAUUAGCAAUUGUCCCCGCAUAGGGAUGCCGCACAAGUUCAAAAGCAUUCCAUAUAUUU